AUGGCUGCUGGGAUGAAGAUGGCAGGGGGAAGAGAUGGGGAGAAGAGGUGUGUUGGAGUGAUUUUGAUAAAAUCUAGAGAUGAGGGAUAUAGGUCCAGACACCUACUGGCCCCCAUUGAAAGGGAUGAUCUGAGGGCUGCCUCCCUGGCAUACAGUCUUUGCAUGUACAUCUACCAGCUUAUCUCCCAGACAGGGGCCCUGAAAUGCUGUCCUUAUGCACCUGGGGUCAGAAGACAACAAGGCUGUUCACCUGCUGGCUGUGACAUAAGUCUACGCCUUUGGUCUACCUUCUCUGAUGAGGAUAGUCCUAUUGCAUUUUCUUGGAAAAGUUGGCUGCUUGAACUACUGCUCUGUUCCAGGUUUCAUUGGCUCCAUUUUCUCAACUGUUCCCAGAAAAACACUAUCAACUGUAGAGAGAGAACAGUUUGUACUACUGGAAUGCUUGGGGGCUUCCUGAUGCUGCUUGGACUUGCAUUUGAAGUCAUUAUUUGUCUGAGCGUUCAUGCUGGGACUCUGGGAAGACCCCCAUGAACAGAGAGCUCCCGACCUUCUGUUGCCAUUGCAGUCUCCCUGCCCUUCUUCUGAGGCAAAUGACUAUUAGUGGGGAAUAGUCACUAGUGUGCCUGAGUUACCUGGCCCUAAGGAGGCCAAGGGGCAACUGAAUGAGUGGGUUGAGUCUUUCCUGCCUUUGACCCUGGACAUGGAGGCUUUGGCCUCAGCAGAGACUGAGCACCUUUGUAUUUGUGACCUGGACCACACAGGUGAGAGUACAGCUGCCAUCAGGGCACAUGAAACCAGGAGCCAACAAUGAAAAAUAAUAUCUCCUCUCAGGGACUUGCUUUAAUUUUUUUUUUUUAAUUUUUUAUUUAUUUAUGAUAGUCACAGAGAGAGAGAGAGAGGCAGAGACACAGGCGGAGGGAGAAGCAGGCUCCAUGCACCGGGAGCCUGAUGUGGUAUUCGAUCCCGGGUCUCCAGGAUCGCGCCCUGGGCCAAAGGCAGGCGCCAAACCGCUGCGCCACCCAGGGAUCCCAGGGACUUGCUUUAGAGAGAGGAAGACACAACAAAACAAACAGCUGUUGCAAGGCAACUUGAAUUUUUAAAAAACUUGCAUAUUGAAGGAGAUUUAAAUAUAGCACAAAAAGACUUUCUGAAGCUAAAAAUCAUAAAUUCCUAACCAAAUACAAUUCAAGAGAUUAACUAAGGGAGAGGAAGAUCACCAGGCGAUCUGAAUUAGCAUCCUAGGAAAAUUGAAGGCAAGAAAUAUCUUGACAUAGAGCAAAGAUAAGAAGAGAUAGAACACAAGUGGGAAAGGAUAAGAAGCUUGGAAGAUAGAUCCUAAAACUGUGGACUGUGAGUAGUGGGAGCAGAAAGAGGGAAAGGAGCAACAGAGGAGGGACAACUAUUAUACUAACAAUAACAGGAGACUUCUCUGAACUGAAGCAAACUUGGGCCUGUUUCUUUCUUUUUAAAAAUUUUAAUAGAUUUUAUUUUUUGGAAUAGUUUUAGGUUUACAGCAAAAUUGAACAGAUGGCACAGAGAGUUCCCAGAGACUCACUCCCUACCACCCCAGAACUUCCCUGACCAUCAACAUGCCCCAUUAAGUGUUCGAACCUACACUGAUCUUAUCAUCAACCAAAGUCCAUAGUUCACAUUGGGCUUCACUUGUGCUGUGCGUUCCGUGAGUUUGGACAAAUGCACAAUGACUCAUAUCCAUCAUUACAGUAUCAUAUAGAGUAGCUUCAUUGCCCUACAAAUCCCCUGUAUUCCAUCUUUUCAUCCUCUACCAACUCCUGGUACUUUUUACUGCCUCGAUAGUUUUGCCUUCUCCAAAAUAUCAUAUAGUUGGAAUUAUAUAGUCUGUAGCUUUUUCAGAUUGUUUUUUUUUUCACUUAGUAACAUGCAUUUAAGGUUCUUCUAUGUUUUUUCAUGGCUCAGUGUCUCCUGUCUUUUAAUUCCUGAAUAAUAUUCCAUUGCCUGGACAUACCAUGUUUGUAUAUCUCUUCACCUACCUGAGCAACAUCUUAGUUGUUUCCAAGUUUUGACAAUUAUGAACAAACUUACAUAGAUAUCUGAAUGUGGGUUUUUUAAAUGAGGAGAUAAGUUUUCAGUUCACUUGGGUAGAUAUUAAGGAGUGCAAUUGCUAGAUUGUAUGUAUGAUAAGAGUAUGCUUAGUUUUGGAAGAAAUUGCCAAAGGGUCUUCCAAAGUGGUUGCACUGUGUUGCAUGCUCACCAGCAGUGAAUGAGAGUUUCUGUUGCUCCAUAUCCUCGUCAGCAUUUAUUGUUGUCAGUGUUCCAGAUUUUGACCAUUCUAGUAGGUGUGUAGUGGUAUCUCAUCAUUGUUUUAAGUUGUAUCUCUCUAAUGACAUGCAAUGUGGAGCAUUUUUUCAUAUGCAUGUUUGCCACUUUUUUUUUUAAAAAGAUUUAUUUACUUAUUCAUGAGAGACACAGAGAGAGAGAGAGAGAGAGAGAAAGGCAGAGACAUAGGCAGAGGGAGAAGCAGGUUCCCUGCAGGGAGCCCGAAACAGGACUCGAUCCCAGGACCCUGGGAUCCCACCCUGAGCCAAAGGCAGACACUCAGCCUCUGAGCCACCCAGGUGUCCCAGCUUGUUUGCCAUUUGUAUAAUCUUCUUUGGUGAAAUAUCUUUUCAGAUCUUUGGCCUAUUUUAUUUAUUUAUUUUUCACUUGACCUAUUUUAAAAUUGAGUUGUUUGUUUUCUUAGUGGUGAGUUUGAAAUUUCUUUGUAUAUUUUUGAUAACAGUCUUUUAUCAGAUAUGUCUUUUGCAAAUGUUUUCUCCCAGUCUGUGGCUUGUCUUCUCAUUUUCUUGAAAGUCUGCCUUUUUAAAAGAGUUAGCCAGGUUUGAGGCCAAUUUGUUGAGAAGAAGCACAUGUCCAGGCAUUUUCUAGUAACAAUACAGAAUUCUAAGAAUAGAAGGAAAAAUAUUUUUCUAAGUGCCUCUAGGCAGAAAGAAUUAGGAAAGAGUCAGCUCUGCUGUGGACUUCACAUGUGACACAGCUGAUCAUCCAUCCUCCUUGAUAUUCCUAUCAUGGUUCCUGCAUGUUUGCCUGUUUAGUGUCCUUCCUUUAUCAUGGCUCUUUUCCCUUAACAAAUCUUUGUAUACUCUGGAUAUAAAUAUGUACAUCCAGACCUGACAGUUGUACUUCUAGGAACUGAGUCUAUAGAAAUAAAAACACUGGGAAGUAAUAACA
RNAcentral lists this long non-coding RNA (3207 nucleotides) under Vulpes vulpes (red fox). Its description in RNAcentral is "lncRNA (ENSVVUG00000006688.1)". The record is from RNAcentral. Lineage: Eukaryota; Metazoa; Chordata; Mammalia; Carnivora; Canidae.